Molecule: ribosomal RNA, 551 nt
Filed under: uncultured bacterium
Lineage: Bacteria
Description: bacterial SSU rRNA
Rfam family: Bacterial small subunit ribosomal RNA
Source: RNAcentral
UAGGGAAUCUUCGGCAAUGGACGGAANUCNGGACCGAGCAACGCCGCGUGAGUGAAGAAGGUUUUCGGAUCGUAAAGCUCUGUUGUAAGAGAAGAACGAGUGUGAGAGUGGAAAGUUCACACUGUGACGGUAUCUUACCAGAAAGGGACGGCUAACUACGUGCCAGCAGCCGCGGUAAUACGUAGGUCCCGAGCGUUGUCCGGAUUUAUUGGGCGUAAAGCGAGCGCAGGCGGUUAGAUAAGUCUGAAGUUAAAGGCUGUGGCUUAACCAUAGUACGCUUUGGAAACUGUUUAACUUGAGUGCAAGAGGGGAGAGUGGAAUUCCAUGUGUAGCGGUGAAAUGCGUAGAUAUAUGGAGGAACACCGGUGGCGAAAGCGGCUCUCUGGCUUGUAACUGACGCUGAGGCUCGAAAGCGUGGGGAGCAAACAGGAUUAGAUACCCUGGUAGUCCACGCCGUAAACGAUGAGUGCUAGGUGUUAGACCCUUUCCGGGGUUUAGUGCCGCAGCUAACGCAUUAAGCACUCCGCCUGGGGAGUACGACCGCAAGGUUG